GUCUCAGGCCGUAUCAGCCUGAAGGCGCUCGAUCUCGUCUGAUCUCGGAAGCUAAGCAGGGUCGGGCCUGGUUAGUAUCUUGGAUGGGAGACCACCUGGGAAUCCCCGGGUGCUCGAGGCU
This 121-nucleotide ribosomal RNA is filed under the name Bison bison bison. The record is from RNAcentral. Lineage: Eukaryota; Metazoa; Chordata; Mammalia; Artiodactyla; Bovidae.